This 726-nucleotide long non-coding RNA is filed under the name Homo sapiens (human). RNAcentral describes it as "HSALNT0050122". Lineage: Eukaryota; Metazoa; Chordata; Mammalia; Primates; Hominidae. The record is from RNAcentral.
CAAACAGGAAAAGAGCCAGAAGAGCAGAGUUCCCAGCAGAGGGGAAGCAAGUGGAGAGGCGGUGUGGAGGAAUCAAUUUGGCCCCAUCUGGAAUGGACAGAAGGCUAGAACCUGCAGUGCAGUGAGUGUGGGAGAAACCAGCUGGCACAAGGUGCUGUAAACUGCAAACCAUAAUCCUGUCUUAAUACUGCAAACAAAUCAUAGUGGAACUAAGGGGAACUUAAUUUACUGUUUCCAGGUUAACUAAGGUCUCAGCUGUAAACCAAAAGUGAGAGGAGACAUUAAGAUUUUCAUUCUUACCGGGUUGUCUUCUUCCUGAAGAGCAAUGGAGCCGCUUUUACUUGGAAGAGGACUAAUCGUAUAUCUAAUGUUCCUCCUGUUAAAAUUCUCAAAAGCAAUUGAAAUACCAUCUUCAGUUCAACAGGUUCCAACAAUCAUAAAACAGUCAAAAGUCCAAGUUGCCUUUCCCUUCGAUGAGUAUUUUCAAAUUGAAUGUGAAGCUAAAGGAAAUCCAGAACCAACAUUUUCGUGGACUAAGGAUGGCAACCCUUUUUAUUUCACUGACCAUCGGAUAAUUCCAUCGAACAAUUCAGGAACAUUCAGGAUCCCAAACGAGGGGCACAUAUCUCACUUUCAAGGGAAAUACCGCUGCUUUGCUUCAAAUAAACUGGGAAUCGCUAUGUCAGAAGAAAUAGAAUUUAUAGUUCCAAGUGUUCCAAAAUUCCC